RNAcentral lists this ribosomal RNA (3201 nucleotides) under Triticum aestivum (bread wheat). Its description in RNAcentral is "partial small subunit ribosomal RNA". The record is from RNAcentral. Lineage: Eukaryota; Viridiplantae; Streptophyta; Magnoliopsida; Poales; Poaceae.
AUGGCGGCAUCCGUCCUCCCACUGCUGCCACUAGUGCUUGUCUUGCUCUGCCGCCUCGAUCACCUCGCCGUCGCCACGGCCUCCACCCCCAACCCCGACCCCGACCCCGACUCCGACUGGACGCAGCAGCAGGCCGCCGCCCUGGUCGCCAUCAAGGGCUCCUUCACCUCCUCGCCGCCGGCGCUGCACGCCUCCUGGACGCUCGCCAACCACGCCGCCCUGUGCCGCUCCUGGCCGGCCGUCGCCUGCGACGCCCGCGGCACCACCGUCGUCUCGCUCGACCUCUCCGCGCACAACCUCUCCGGCGCGCUCUCCCCGGCCGUCGCCAACCUCACCGGCCUCCGCUUCCUCUCCCUCUCCAACAACGCGCUCGCCGGCGACCUGCCCCCCGCCCUCGCCGCGCUAACGGACCUCCGCCAUCUCAACCUCUCCAACAACCAGUUCAACGGCACCCUGCAGCGCCUCGACCUCUCCGCGAUGCCCGCGCUCCAGGUGCUCGACCUCUACGACAACGACCUCGCCGGCCCGCUCCCGGACGCCAGUAAGCUGCCGGCCAGGGCGCUCGUGCACCUCGACCUCGGCGGCAACUUCUUCUCCGCCACCAUCCCGCGCAGCUUCGGAUCGCUGGAGGCCGUCCAGUUCCUCUCUGUAGCCGGCAACAGCCUCACCGGCGCCAUCCCUCCCGAGCUCGGCAACCUCACCGCGCUCCGCCAGCUCUUCCUCGGCUACUUCAACCAGUUCGACGGCGGCAUCCCCGCCGAGCUCGGCCGGCUAUCCAGCCUCGUCCACCUCGACCUCGCCAGCUGCGGCCUGCAGGGCGCCAUCCCGCCGUCGCUCGGCGCGCUCACCAGGCUCGACACGCUCUACCUCCAGACCAACCAGCUCAACGGCACCAUCCCGCCGGAGCUCGGCAACCUCACCGCCCUCCGCUUCCUCGACGUCUCCAACAACGCGCUCACGGGCGAGGUCCCGCCGCAGCUCGCCGCGCUCCGGGAGCUCAGGCUCGUCAACAUGUUCAUCAACCGUUUCCGCGGCGGCGUCCCGGAGUUCCUCGGCGACCUGGAGCACCUCCAGGUGCUCAAGCUGUGGCAGAACAACUUCACGGGCUCCAUCCCGGCGGCGCUCGGCCGCGCGGCGCCGCUCCAGGAGGUGGACCUGUCGACGAACCGGCUGACCGGGGAGGUGCCGCGGUGGCUGUGCGCGCGCGGCCAGCUCCAGAUCCUCAUCCUCCUCAACAACUUCCUCUUCGGCCCGGUGCCGGAGGGGCUCGGCGACUGCCCGACGCUCACGCGGGUGCGCAUCAGCAACAACUACCUCACCGGCGAGCUCCCGCGCGGCUUCCUCUACCUGCCGGCGCUCACCACAGUCGAGCUGCAGAGCAACUACCUCACCGGCCAUCUUCCAGAGGACGACGGCAUCCCGGCCAAGGAGAGGAAGAUGCUGUCGCUGCUGAACCUGUCGAGCAACAGGUUCAACGGCUCGCUGCCGUCGUCCAUCGGCAGCUUCUCGUCGCUGCAGACGCUUCUCCUCAGCGGCAACCAGCUCGCCGGCGGGAUCCCGCCGGAGGUCGGUCGGCUGAAGCGGCUGCUGAAGCUGGACCUGAGCGGCAACAACCUGACCGGCGAGGUGCCCGGCGAGAUCGGCGAGUGCACGUCGCUGACGUUCCUGGACCUGAGCGUGAACCAGCUGACGGGCGCGAUCCCGGGGGCGCGGCUGGCGGAGAUCAAGGUGCUCAACUACCUGAACGUGUCGUGGAACAAGCUGGACGGCGGCGUCCCGGCGGAGAUGGGCGGGAUGAAGAGCCUGACCGCGGCCGACUUGUCCCACAACGACCUGUCGGGCGUGGUGCCGCAGAGCGGGCAGUUCGCCUACUUGAACGCGACGUCGUUCGCCGGCAACCCGCGGCUGUGCGGGACGACGAUCGCGUCGUCCAACCCGUGCAACCUGACGUCCAUGUCCGGGCCGCGGGUCUGGCCGGACGGCGGCGGCGACAAGCAGCCCGCGUCGACGUCGUCGGUGGGGCGGCUGAAGCUGGCGGCGGCGCUGGGGCUGCUGGCGUGCUCGGUGGCGUUCGCAGCAGCGGCGGUGGCGACGACACGGUCGGCGAUGCAGCGGAGGCGGCGGCAGCGGGGCAGCGGCGGGUGGCGGAUGACGGCGUUCCAGCAGAAGGUGUCGUUCGGGUGGUCGGACGUGGUGCAGUGCGUGAAGGAGAACCAGGUGGUGGGGCGGGGCGGGGCCGGCACGGUGUACCGCGGCACGAUGCCCGGCGGGGAGGCGGUGGCGGUGAAGCGCAUCGCGGCGGCUGGUGGGCCCGGGGACGACGGCGGGUUCUCGGCGGAGGUGCGGACGCUGGGGCGGAUCCGGCACCGGCACAUCGUGCGGCUGCUGGCCAUCUGCUCGUCGGGCGACGGGAGGAGCAACCUGCUGGUGUACGAGUACAUGGCUGAGGGGAGCCUGGGGGACGUGCUGCAUGGGGAAGGUGGCGACGGGAACGUGAUGGCGUGGGCGACGCGGCUGCGGGUGGCGACGGAGGCGGCGAUGGGGCUGUGCUACCUGCACCACGACUGCUCGCCGGCGAUCCUGCACCGGGACGUCAAGUCCAACAACAUCCUGCUGGAUGAAGGGAUGGAGGCCCACGUGGCGGACUUCGGGCUGGCCAAGUACCUCCGGCAUGGGCAUGGCGCCGCGUCCGAGUGCAUGUCCGCCAUCGCCGGAUCCUACGGCUACAUCGCGCCAGAGUACGCCUACACGCUCAAGGUGGACGAGAAGAGCGACGUGUACAGCUUCGGCGUGGUCUUGCUGGAGCUCAUCACGGGGCACCGGCCGGUGGGCCCGCACCUGGGCGAGGACGGCAGCCUGGACCUGGUGCAGUGGGUGCGCGCCCGGGUCGACCAAGGUGGCGGAGUGGAGGCGGUGCUGGACCCGCGGCUGGGCGGCGACGUGCCGGCGUGGGAGGCGGCGCAGGCGCUGUUCGUGGGGAUGUUGUGCGUGCAGGAGCAGAGCGUGGAGCGCCCCACCAUGCGGGAGGUCGUCCACAUGCUCCAGCAGGCCAAGCUGCCGCCAACUCCGUCCCUGCACGACCUCCGAGGAGGCGCCAUACCUAUGCAUCCUUCUGCUGCUGCUGCUCGUGUCCGCGUCGUCCACCACGACGAGGAGGCUGCUGCCGGAGGAGGAUCGGACAGUGAAUGCGAAGGCCGAUGA